This is a long non-coding RNA of Anolis carolinensis (green anole), 5294 nucleotides long. RefSeq lists it as uncharacterized. The transcript is spliced from 2 exons. The record is from RefSeq and is a predicted model, not a curated record. NCBI's taxonomy places the organism in Eukaryota, Metazoa, Chordata, Lepidosauria, Squamata, Anolidae.
ACAGAAAAUAUUCUGAGAUAAAUAAAAUGUACAUGGUUCUCUAAAAUAAAAUUGGAAAGAACAGGGGGGGGGGGAAUCUGGGACUUUCCAGUCUUUAUAAUAGCACGGUUACAUCCUAAAGAAAACCUGGAAAGUCCCAGAUUUUGUGCAUGUCCUUUCUAAUUUUAUUUAGGAGAUUCAUACAUAUUUUGGAGAUUUGACACAUUUUAUGUCAGCUCCCAGUAUAAUCAGAAACUUUUUUACACCAACUCCCCAGGUCUGUUUAUUUUCACCCAGUAUAAAAUUGGAAAAGACAGGAAUAAAAUCUGGGGCUUUUCAAUCAGUCUGGAGGUGUCCUAAGUUACAAAUCCUCUCCCUCUGAGAACUGCACUUGCAUCUAACAAGUAUAAGGACAUAGGCCACCAUGAAGCAAGACUCCAGCCAGAUUCUUAAGAAAAUCUCUGUUCCAGCCUUUCUCAACUUCUUUACCCUGGAGGAACCCUUGAAAUAAUGUUUGAGUUUGAGAAAACCUGUAUAAAAAUUAUUCUAUUUGCAGUUCAAAUUUGUGUAUUACUGUAUAUGUUGAUUUGUUUGUUUUAAUCAUAAUCUCUCAUGGAACAUAUAGUAGCCUCUCAGAAUCCUAAUGUUUUGGAAAAUCUGGUUGAAAAACUUUUCUCUGUACUCUUAGGUCCGAGUAUCAUAACCUCAAACUGCCUUGGUUUGGCUCCAACUGACUCAACUGUUUACAUUGGUCCAAAGUCAUGUUGCUUGGGAUUCUGGGGCAGAAUUCAGAGCAACCUGUGACUUUGCUUAAAGUGGUUCAAUGCUCCGUUAAGCAACUUUUACCUCACAUUAACCCAGAUUGGCUACAUCAGGCAUGGGCAAAUUUCCUGAGCUAUAUGGAACUGAUUCAGCUGACCUUCGCAGUUGUCAAUGUAGACUGCUUCUCCCUUUGGUCCAUAGCUUUCCUCACUUGCUGCAAACUGAGCUCAAAGCGCAACUCUUCAGUUUGUACUCAAUAAGGGCCCUUCCAGAAGGCCCUAUAUCCCAGGAUCUGAUCCCAGGUUUUCUCCCAGAUUAUCUGGCAGUGCAGACUCAUAUAAUCCAGUUUAAAGCAGAAAACCUGAGACCAGGUCCUGGGAAAUAGGGUCUGUCUGGAAGGACCCUAAAUCAGCAGGCGAGAGAGGAAAGGAAGGUUGGAAUUUUGGCUUUUCUAGCAGGCUCAGGCGAAAGCAAACCUCUGUAGCCUGUCCUAGUUUUUCUGUUUUUUAUUUAUUAUUUUUAUUUAUUACAAUACUUGUAUCCCUCCCUUCUCACCCAAUAGGGGACUCAGGGCGGCUUACAAUAAAACUUUUGUCUAAUCUUCCCCACAACGGCCCCAAUAGCUUCUUCCUCCUUGAGUAUAAUCAAUGCUAGCCAUCGUAUCCAAGUAAGAGAUUAAAAGAAGUGUGACAACUUUUGAUUAUAGCUGCAAAGAACUGUAAAACAAGGAGUGGCCAAUAGAUGUUGCUUGUUUUACUGAAUUGGACAGAAAAACAUCCUCAUGCAAAAACAUAUUCCUCAUCAACUCAUAAUUUUAUUUGCCAAUCCUUAAGUAAGUGCAACACACUCCUUGUAGAGAAAAGUGAAAAGUUUUUGCCACCUUGACCACACCCUGAUGAUGCUUUGUCACAUAUCAUAGUUUUCAUCUGUGGAAUGUUGGAAGGUAUGGAAUACUAAAUAAUGUUUUGAAACAGUUAAACAAGGUAAAGACAAAUCAAGUUUACUUUGUGUGCAUCAGAAAAAGCUCAGUUCCCGGUACCGGUAUCUGAUGACACAAAAUCCACUUUGGUAUCCUGCAGUCAUGCUGGCCACAUGACCUUGGAGGUGUCUACGGACAACGCCGGCUCUUCGGCUUAGAAAUGGAGAUGAGCACCAACCCCCAGAGUCGGUCACGACUGGACUUAACGUCAGGGAAAACCUUUACCUUUAUCCUGUAGUUUGCAAUUAAAUUUGGUGCUCUCGAAUAUUUUGAUCUAAGAAUACCAAAAAAUAAAAUAAAAUAAGUCCACACUGCACUGAUUCUUUCACUGAGCCAACGAAAAGGAGCAAAAUACGUCAUGCUAGUUUUCAAAGCUUUACAUGGUUCUUCAUCAGGCAGAGAUGGCAAAACAACAAAAUUCAAGAGUGAGUAUUUAUACACUGCUGAGAACAGAAGUUUGGAUUGGGCUCAUUUCCUCAUGUGCAAAGUCCUGUGCUUUUGGCAGCAGAGCGCUGAAUCUGCUCUACCCACACAUGCAGGAUGCACUGGCUUUCUGCGUACAGAAAGAUCCCAUAAAAGGGGAUUGCGCAUGCAAGAAAGGGAGCUUGUUUAAUCUACCAUUCCUUCACCCCUAUCUUGCAAAAGCCAGCAGUUCUUGUGUUAUGUUAUGCAUCCAGGACUGUUUUUCCAUAUGUGCUUUUGGAACAAGCAGAAGGGAUUUUCAAAUCUUUUCAAAUCCUUUCCUUACUUAGUUUAUCCAUACCUCACAACCUCUGAGGAUGCCUGCCAUAGAUGUGGGCGAAACGUCAGGAGAGAAUACUUCUGGAACAUGGCCACACAGCCCGAAAGACAUACAAUAACCCUAUUUUCAAAUCUGUUUGAAAUGGAGAGGAGAGGAAAGCCCUCUUUGUGUCUCUAGCAUCUUGUGUUAAUGAGUAAAAUAGAACACAUUUGCUGCAAAAUUAAUUGAAUUCUUAAAAGUAUGGUAAAUAAUAAGGUGUCCAGCAAUAAUAUUAAUAAUAAAUCAGUCUAACCAGGCAAGUUAAUAGAGACCUCUUAUUGGAUCUCCAACAUCUUUAAAAUUAGUAAAAAAAAAAAAAAACAGGAGGGAGGGAGAGAGAUUUGGAUCAGACACUUGGGGAAGGUGAAUGAACCACUUAUCUGCUGUCAUUCUCUUGGUAAUUACCCCUUCUUCCAAACUGUUUUCCUGAUUGGAAAGGAAUUUAAACAUGUGAAGGUUUUACAAAGGCAUGGGGUAAAAAACAUCUUUGAUGGCCAGUUUUCUUCAGGAAGACAACACUUUCCCUGUGCUGUGAUCCAAUCUAAAUCAGUGUCCCCAAGCAGCUGCUAGUUGACAUAUUUUGAAGAGAAAGAUCUGUGAUCAGGUCUCAAUUUUCUUCUCUCAUUAAAUGUUUAGUUGCCAGAGAGAUACUUAACUGUGUUACCAUAUACUUUAGGUAGUAUUUACAAAAAGAUGGAUUAACUGUACUUGAAAGUGAAACACAUACGUAUGUACUAUGUACAGUACUGCUUUUAUGUCAGUUUUUCUGAUGUUUCAAUGCUAAAGAGAUGCUUUAAAGUUACAGAUCUGAGAAGAAAAAGAAACUUGUGACUGACGCCCCAGGCAUCAUUACAGAAUUCAAGCAUGAAGAAGAAUGUAGUAAUAUCAAGCUAUCGUGAUGAAAGUAAACUGAUGGCAGGGGAUCCAUUCCUUGAUCUAAGCCAAGUUUGUCAGAAUGCCCUGAACCAAGUAUAGUACAAACCCAGUGAGAUAUGCAUUCCUGGAUUUCACAUAGAUAAAUAAAACCACGGAUAAUAUUGUACCCUAUUGAAAUGAAGGACUUCUGGUUAAAGAAUAUCAAAUAAUUUGCAUGGAAACCUAGAAAAUGCCUAGAGAUAACAUAUUUUGUUGGACAUAGAUAAACAAAAUCAUGGCUAUUGGUUCCACAGAUACAGGGAUGGUACUGUAUAGGUCGGUGCUUCUCAAAUUGUGUUCCUAGGGAUGUUUUGGACAUCCGCUCUCAAAAACCCCAGCCAGCUUACCAGCUGUUAGGGGUUAUGGGAGCUGAAGUACAAAACAUCUGGAGACACACAGUUUGAGAGACUGUAGUAUGGAUGUUCCACCCCAAUUUUUUAUGAAAUAUGAUGGAAAAGGGAGGAUAGUGACCUAGGCCCUUGGGUAGGAAAGGAACUAGAGAAUAAUGAAGUGGCCAAGGAAUGUGCAUUCUUACCUCUCCAGGUCUCUAAUUUCAGCCAAAGCUACUAAGAGAUCCAGAAACCGCUGGAUUCACACCAAGAGCUAACUGAAAGUACUGCAUUCACACCAGUGAUUAACCAUUCAUAAUUUCCUACACAGGACAAUUUGUGUGCAUGUGUGGGUGCAAAUAUACCUCUCACACACAGGCACAUAAAAGCUGCUCUUUGCGGAGAGUUGCCAUACUGCAAGAAACAUGGUUGUACAUCCAUAACUGUUGCUGUAGUACUAUGCAAAUCCCUAACAUAGUUAGGGCUUUGGAAAGUUUUUUCUCCUGCAACUGCGACUCUCAGAAUACCUCAGCCAGCCAGUAUUGAUUAUCCUUAUCAUUGUCCUGCCAUUUACUGAAUUUUAUAGGAGUUUUACAUGAUUUUGUUCUCCUCCUAUAUGCACACACCAGCUUCUUCUGUCUUUUUCUUCCCAUGAAAAAUUUUAAGGAGAGAAAAAAAACAAGUCAUUGGCAGAAUGGCUUUACAUUGUUAGUGUUCAAAGCUUUCAGUCUGGAAUGCCAUAAUCCACAAACAUAUGAAUGCUACAUGUGAAUAAACUAAUAGAUUGAGAUAGUUUGUAUCUAACUAUGUAACAUUGCAUCCAUUGGCAAUCACACAAUAUCUUUUCCUCAUUGCGGUAAGAGAGUAUGUUAUGGUUGAGCCUUAUGGCUCCGAUUCUGGGAGACGUAGUCGUAAGACUCCUCGGGAGUCAGACUCUCUUGAGGAGCGAGAAAGGAAGCGGCUGCGGGACUUAUUUGCAGAACCAACUGAUGAAGACUCCUUUGAGGGUUUUACCGAGGGAAUGGAGGAAGAGAUGGUUAGCUCAGAGAAGGAUGAUAUGGAAUGGACUCGUGUGAGGGAGGAUUUGGGUGCCACCGGCAAUGAUAGUAUGGGAGGCGACUGGGGGGUUGCAGGAUUAGACCCGUGGACGAGCUGGAGGGAUGGGACGGAAUCCACAGCUGGGGAUGCUGUGGGGCGUAGUCAAAGGUGUUUUAGCUCUGAUGAGGAGGAUGAUGAUGAGACACCUGGAAUUAGGGUAACAGCUGACAGCGAUGAGGAGUUGUAAACUGGCAUAAAAUGGGGUCUAGAAUCCAGGGCUAAUUGCAUUGGGCAAGGUAAUCUGGACGAACGCUUGGGCUCUUGUUGGGAAUUUCCUGAAGACGGGUGUGAUUCGUUUGCUGAAUACCUUGGACCUCCGUCGUCUUUUUGACGGACAUUAAUUGCCUACUCUGGAUUGACGCUGGACUGACUGACUGACUUCGACCUUGGACUAUCCCUUCUGUGAUUAUCGGUGGAACUGGUGAACUAAAGACGUCUGUACCUGGCCUUC